GAAAUACGAUAAGUAGUGUAAAUUGCAGAAUUCAGUAAAUCAUCGAAUCUUUAAACGCACAUUGCGCCCUUUAGUAUUCCUUAGGGCAUGCCUGUUCAAGCGUCAUUUAAACCUUCAAGCUCAGCUUAGUGUUAGGUGACUGUCCGCCGCCUCCAGGCGGUCGGACUCGCCUCAAAUUAAUUAGCAGCCGGUACUUUGGCUUCGAGCGCAGCAGAAACGCGAACUCAAGGCCGUCGUCCUGGCUCCUAGAAGCUAUCUUCACAAUUUUGACCUCAGAUUAGGUAGGGAUACCCGCUGAACUUAA
RNAcentral lists this unclassified non-coding RNA (304 nucleotides) under uncultured Dothideomycetes. RNAcentral's name for it is "sequence contains ITS1". The stretch from base 1 to 105 matches the Rfam family "5.8S ribosomal RNA", at positions 50 to 154 of the family's 154-position model. Lineage: Eukaryota; Fungi; Ascomycota; Dothideomycetes. The record is from RNAcentral.